This 274-nucleotide ribosomal RNA is filed under the name uncultured bacterium. RNAcentral's name for it is "partial 16S ribosomal RNA". It matches the Rfam family "Bacterial small subunit ribosomal RNA", at positions 95 to 354 of the family's 1533-position model. The record is from RNAcentral.
CCGGCGCACGGGUGAGUAACGCGUGUGCAACCCUGCCCCGGGCCACAGUGGGAUAAUCCGGAGAAAUCCGGUCUAAUACCGCAUGACGCGGGAAAGGCGCAUGCCUUUUCCGCCAAAGGUAGGCGACUCCCGGUGCCGGCUGGGCACGCGGUGACAUUAGCUAGUUGGCGGGGCGACGGCCCGACCAAGGCGGACGAUGUCUAGGGGUUCGUGAGAGGAAGGUCCCCCACCACUGGUACUGAGACACGGACCAGACUCCUACGGGAGGCAGCAG